This is a non-coding RNA of Sander lucioperca (pikeperch), 512 nucleotides long. The record is from the annotation of a RefSeq genome assembly. NCBI's taxonomy places the organism in Eukaryota, Metazoa, Chordata, Actinopteri, Perciformes, Percidae.
GAGGCCAGUGUUGAUCAGUGACUGUCCAGGACUUUCAGAGACACUGACACGCCGGCAGCAUGAUGAUGAUGUCACUGAUUCUACUGCUGGCCACCCUGGGGCUCCUUGUUCAGGGUUCAUCAGGAGAAAUCAUCCUGACUCAGUCUCCUGGAUCUCAGUCUGUUGCUCCAGGACAGUCUGUCUCUAUCAGAUGUAAAGCCAGUUCAGCUGUUAGUACUAGCGUACUCAGCUGGUACCUUCAGAAACCUGGAGAAUCUCCUAAACUCCUGAUUUAUUCAACUUCAACUCUUCAGUCUGGAGUUUCAGAUCGUUUUAGUGGAAGUGGAUCAAACACUGACUUCACUCUGUCCAUCAGUGGAGUUCAGACUGAAGAUACAGCAGUUUACUACUGUCAGCAAUAUCAAAGCUAUCCAGUCACACAGUGAUACAACGUCGUACAAAAACCUCCUCAGCUGGAGAGGAACUGAUCUGAUUCAACAGCUGCACUGAAACUAAAACACAAGUUUGACUGA